This is a non-coding RNA of Pelobates cultripes (western spadefoot toad), 334 nucleotides long. NCBI's taxonomy places the organism in Eukaryota, Metazoa, Chordata, Amphibia, Anura, Pelobatidae. The record is from the annotation of a GenBank genome assembly.
UGCAGACAGGCAAGCAGCAGCAGGGUGAGAAUGCCAAAAGCACGCACAGAUGGCCCUCAUUUUCUGCAGCAGCUCUGAUAUAUCUGGGGAUUCACCAUGGCAUCACAAGGGCCACCCAGAACUGGCUCAACUCCCAUCAAGCCAAAGGCGACCACGCAUUCGUAUGUCAAUCCAUAUCAACUUUCGAUGCCAUUGACUGCACCUACCAUGGUGACCUUGGGUAAUAGGGAAUCAGGGUUCGAUUCCGUACAGGGACCCUGACAAACGGCUACCACAUGCAAGGAAGGCAGCAGGCGAGCAAAUGACCCACUCCCGACGCGGGAAAGUAGUGACG